UACGGAGGAUGCGAGCGUUAUCCGGAUUUAUUGGGUUUAAAGGGUGCGUAGGCGGCUUAGUAAGUCAGCGGUGAAAUUUUGUCAGCUUAACUGUAACAGUGCCGUUGAUACUGCCAGGCUAGGAUUUGGUUGCUGUGGGUGGAAUGUGUGGUGUAGCGGUGAAAUGCUUAGAUAUCACACAGAACACCGAUUGCGAAGGCAGCACACUAAGUCAUUAUUGACGCUGAGGCACGAAAGUGUGGGGAGUCAAACAGGAUUA
This 259-nucleotide ribosomal RNA is filed under the name uncultured prokaryote. Its description in RNAcentral is "partial 16S ribosomal RNA". It matches the Rfam family "Bacterial small subunit ribosomal RNA", at positions 524 to 780 of the family's 1533-position model. The record is from RNAcentral.